AUACGUAGGGGGCGAGCGUUGUCCGGAAUGAUUGGGCGUAAAGGGCGCGUAGGCGGCCUGUUAAGUCUGGAGUGAAAGUCCUGUUUUUAAGAUGGGAAUUGCUUUGGAUACUGUCGGGCUUGAGUGCAGGAGAGGGAAGUGGAAUUCCCAGUGUAGCGGUGAAAUGCGUAGAGAUUGGGAGGAACACCAGUGGCGAAGGCGACUUACUGGACUGUAACUGACGCUGAGGCGCGAAAGUGUGGGGAGCAAACAGGAUUAGAUACCCUGGUAGUCCACACUGUAAACGAUGAAUGCUAGGUGUAGGGGGUAUCGACCCCUUCUGUGCCGCAGUCAACACAAUAAGCAUUCCGCCUGGGGAGUACGGCCGCAAGGUUGAAACUCAAAUGAAUUGACGGGG
Molecule: ribosomal RNA, 397 nt
Filed under: uncultured bacterium
Lineage: Bacteria
Description: partial 16S ribosomal RNA
Rfam family: Bacterial small subunit ribosomal RNA
Source: RNAcentral